AUUCAACUGAUGAGUACCAAAUAGAACGAAACGCGCGUCCUCGAU
This 45-nucleotide non-coding RNA is filed under the name Schistosoma mansoni. Lineage: Eukaryota; Metazoa; Platyhelminthes; Trematoda; Strigeidida; Schistosomatidae. The record is from RNAcentral.